This 114-nucleotide microRNA precursor is filed under the name Schistosoma mansoni. RNAcentral's name for it is "microRNA sma-mir-8446 precursor". The record is from miRBase by way of RNAcentral. Lineage: Eukaryota; Metazoa; Platyhelminthes; Trematoda; Strigeidida; Schistosomatidae.
UAAGCCCAGGAAAUCCAUCCGGUCCUUGUGUACCCAUUUGACCAACUGGGCCUUGAGCACCAGGUAAUCCAGUUGGUCCUUUAGGUCCAGGUGGACCAAAUGGACCUGGAAGGC